UUAGGGCCCUGGCUCCAUCUCCUUUAGGAAAACCUUCUGUGGGGAGUGGGGCUUCGACCCUAACC
Molecule: microRNA precursor, 65 nt
Organism: Ailuropoda melanoleuca (giant panda)
Lineage: Eukaryota; Metazoa; Chordata; Mammalia; Carnivora; Ursidae
Source: Ensembl